Molecule: ribosomal RNA, 429 nt
Filed under: Chloroflexota bacterium
Lineage: Bacteria; Bacillati; Chloroflexota
Description: Chloroflexi bacterium partial 16S ribosomal RNA
Rfam family: Bacterial small subunit ribosomal RNA
Source: RNAcentral
UGGGGAAUAUUGCACAAUGGGCGCAAGCCUGAUGCAGCCAUGCCGCGUGUGUGAAGAAGGCCUUCGGGUUGUAAAGCACUUUCAGCGGGGAGGAAGGCGAUAAGGUUAAUAACCUCAUCGAUUGACGUUACCCGCAGAAGAAGCACCGGCUAACUCCGUGCCAGCAGCCGCGGUAAUACGGAGGGUGCAAGCGUUAAGCGGAAGUACUGGGCGUAAAGCGCACGCAGGCGGUCUGUCAAGUCAGAUGUGAAAUCCCCGGGCUCAACCUGGGAACUGCAUUCGGAACUGGCAGGCUAGAGUCUUGUAGAGGGGGGUAGAAUUCCAGGUGUAGCGGUGAAAUGCGUAGAGAUCUGGAGGAAUACCGGUGGCGAAGGCGGCCCCCUGGACAAAGACUGACGCUCAGGUGCGAAAGCGUGGCGAGCGAACAGG